Molecule: small nuclear RNA, 133 nt
Filed under: Zalophus californianus (California sea lion)
Lineage: Eukaryota; Metazoa; Chordata; Mammalia; Carnivora; Otariidae
Description: U2 spliceosomal RNA (ENSZCAG00015005368.1)
Rfam family: U2 spliceosomal RNA
About the family: U2 is a small nuclear RNA (snRNA) component of the spliceosome (involved in pre-mRNA splicing). Complementary binding between U2 snRNA (in an area lying towards the 5' end but 3' to hairpin I) and the branchpoint sequence (BPS) of the intron results the bulging out of an unpaired adenosine, on the BPS, which initiates a nucleophilic attack at the intronic 5' splice site, thus starting the first of two transesterification reactions that mediate splicing.
Source: RNAcentral
AUCGCUUCUCAGCCUUUUGGCUAAGAUCAAGUGUAGAAUGACCUGGAUCAUGUUUUCAGGACUGAGAUGUUUACUUUUUAACAGCAACACACAUUUUUUUCUUUACAUUUUUUUGUUGUUAUGUUAAUCACCA